Molecule: ribosomal RNA, 335 nt
Filed under: uncultured bacterium
Lineage: Bacteria
Description: bacterial SSU rRNA
Rfam family: Bacterial small subunit ribosomal RNA
Source: RNAcentral
GACGAACGCUGGCGGCGUGCCUAACACAUGCAAGUCGAGCGAUGAAACCUUUCGGGGUGGAUUAGCGGCGGACGGGUGAGUAACACGUGGGUAACCUGCCUCAAAGAGGGGAAUAGCCUCCCGAAAGGGAGAUUAAUACCGCAUAAUAUGUUUUGGUCGCAUGACCUUAAUAUUAAAGGAUACUUCUUCGGAAGUUUCCGCUUUUGAGAUGGACCCGCGGCGCAUUAGCUAGUUGGUGAGGUAACGGCUCACCAAGGCGACGAUGCGUAGCCGACCUGAGAGGGUGAUCGGCCACAUUGGAACUGAGACACGGUCCAGACUCCUACGGGUGGCAG